Molecule: ribosomal RNA, 447 nt
Filed under: uncultured bacterium
Lineage: Bacteria
Description: partial 16S ribosomal RNA
Rfam family: Bacterial small subunit ribosomal RNA
Source: RNAcentral
AGCGAACGCUGGCGGCAGGCUUAACACAUGCAAGUCGAACGCCCCGCAAGGGGAGUGGCAGACGGGUGAGUAACACGUGGGAACGUACCCUUUGGUUCGGAAUAACUUGGGGAAACUCAAGCUAAUACCGGAUAAGCCCUUAUGGGGAAAGGUUUACUGCCGAAGGAUCGGCCCGCGUCUGAUUAGCUAGUUGGUGAGGUAAUGGCUCACCAAGGCGACGAUCAGUAGCUGGUAUGAGAGGAUGAUCAGCCACACUGGGACUGAGACACGGCCCAGACUCCUACGGGAGGCAGCAGUGGGGAAUAUUGGACAAUGGGGGCAACCCUGAUCCAGCCAUGCCGCGUGAGUGAUGAAGGCCGUAGGGUUGUAAAGCUCUUUUACCCGGGACGAUAAUGACUGUACCGGGAGAAUAAGUCCCGGCUAACUUCGUGCCGGCCGCCGCAGUAA